Molecule: ribosomal RNA, 279 nt
Filed under: Triticum aestivum (bread wheat)
Lineage: Eukaryota; Viridiplantae; Streptophyta; Magnoliopsida; Poales; Poaceae
Description: partial small subunit ribosomal RNA
Source: RNAcentral
AUGGCCUUGGUGCGGAAGUAUGGCAAGCCUAUUGUAUUCCUCACAAUGACAUGCAACCCAAACUGGGAUGAGAUCAAGCGCAAGCUCUACCCUAGUCAAACACCUCAGGAUCAUCUGAACCUCAUUGUGCAUGUUUUUAGGGCAAAAUUGGAGGAACUCAAGAAUAAGUUGCUUCAGAAGGACAUCCUAGGAAAGGCCUGAGCCUAUGUGUAUCUGGUGGAGUUCUGGAAGAGGGAUCUUCCCCAUGCCCACUUCCUUCUUAUCAUGCAGGGACGAUAG